Molecule: ribosomal RNA, 372 nt
Filed under: uncultured bacterium
Lineage: Bacteria
Description: bacterial SSU rRNA
Rfam family: Bacterial small subunit ribosomal RNA
Source: RNAcentral
GUAGGGUGCGAGCGUUGUCCGGAAUUAUUGGGCGUAAAGGGCUCGUAGGCGGUUUGUCGCGUCGGGAGUGAAAUCCAGGUGCUUAACACCUGGCUUGCUUUCGAUACGGGCAGACUAGAGGCAUGCAGGGGAGAACGGAAUUCCUGGUGUAGCGGUGAAAUGCGCAGAUAUCAGGAGGAACACCGGUGGCGAAGGCGGUUCUCUGGGCAUGUCCUGACGCUGAGGAGCGAAAGUGUGGGGAGCGAACAGGAUUAGAUACCCUGGUAGUCCACACCGUAAACGUUGGGCGCUAGGUGUGGGAUCCAUUCCACGGGUUCCGUGCCGCAGCUAACGCAUUAAGCGCCCCGCCUGGGGAGUACGGCCGCAAGGCUA